UCGGGAAUUUUGGGCAAUGGGCGAAAGCCUGACCCAGCAACGCCGCGUGAAGGAUGAAGUAUUUCGGUAUGUAAACUUCGAAAGAAUAGGAAGAAUAAAUGACGGUACUAUUUAUAAGGUCCGGCUAACUACGUGCCAGCAGCCGCGGUAAUACGUAGGGACCAAGCGUUGUUCGGAUUUACUGGGCGUAAAGGGCGCGUAGGCGGUGUGUCAAGUCAGUUGUGAAAUCUCCGAGCUUAACUCGGAACGGUCAACUGAUACUGUCACACUAGAGUACAGAAGGGGCAAUCGGAAUUCUUGGUGUAGCGGUGAAAUGCGUAGAUAUCAAGAGGAACACCUGAGGCGAAGGCGGGUUGCUGGGCUGAUACUGACGCUGAGGCGCGAAAGCUAGGGUAGCAAACGGGAUUAGAUACCCAAGUAGUCCCUGAGCGGGCUGGCAAGGCGCAU
Molecule: ribosomal RNA, 447 nt
Filed under: uncultured bacterium
Lineage: Bacteria
Description: bacterial SSU rRNA
Rfam family: Bacterial small subunit ribosomal RNA
Source: RNAcentral